UCCCAAACUAGAACCCUGCUUCCUGUGGUU
This 30-nucleotide non-coding RNA is filed under the name Homo sapiens (human). Lineage: Eukaryota; Metazoa; Chordata; Mammalia; Primates; Hominidae. The record is from RNAcentral.